RNAcentral lists this ribosomal RNA (383 nucleotides) under uncultured bacterium. RNAcentral's name for it is "bacterial SSU rRNA". It matches the Rfam family "Bacterial small subunit ribosomal RNA", at positions 1011 to 1393 of the family's 1533-position model. The record is from RNAcentral.
GGUCCCUCUUCGGAGCAGUGGAGACAGGUGGUGCAUGGUUGUCGUCAGCUCGUGUCGUGAGAUGUUGGGUUAAGUCCCGCAACGAGCGCAACCCUUAUCCUUAGUAGCCAGCGAGUCAAGUCGGGCACUCUGGGGAGACUGCCAGGGAUAACCUGGAGGAAGGUGGGGAUGACGUCAAAUCAUCAUGCCCCUUAUGAUUUGGGCUACACACGUGCUACAAUGGCGUAAACAAAGGGAAGCAAAGGAGCGAUCUGGAGCAAACCCCAAAAAUAACGUCUCAGUUCGGAUUGCAGGCUGCAACUCGCCUGCAUGAAGCUGGAAUCGCUAGUAAUCGCGAAUCAGAAUGUCGCGGUGAAUACGUUCCCGGGUCUUGUACACACCGA